AUUGAACGCUGGCGGCAGGCCUAACACAUGCAAGUCGAGCGAGCGGCGGACGGGUGGGUAAUGUAUGGGGAACUGCCCGAUAGAGGGGGAUAACUACUGGAAACGGUGGCUAAUACCGCAUACUAUCGGAUGUACCCAUAUGGGAUUAGCUAGUAGGUGGGGUAAUGGCUCACCUAGGCGACGAGCCCUCGCUGGUCUGAGAGGAUGACCAGCCACACUGGAACUGAGACACGGUCCAGACUCCUACGGGAGGCAGCAGUGGGGAAUAUUGCACAAUGGGCGCAAUCCUGAUGCAGCCAUGCCGCGUGUGUGAAGAAGGCCUGCGGGUUGUAAAGCACUUUCAGCGAGGAGGCGUUACUCGCAGAAGAAGCACCGGCUAACUCCGUGCCAGCAGCCGCGGUAAUAC
Molecule: ribosomal RNA, 406 nt
Filed under: uncultured bacterium
Lineage: Bacteria
Description: partial 16S ribosomal RNA
Rfam family: Bacterial small subunit ribosomal RNA
Source: RNAcentral